This 875-nucleotide ribosomal RNA is filed under the name uncultured bacterium. Its description in RNAcentral is "bacterial SSU rRNA". It matches the Rfam family "Bacterial small subunit ribosomal RNA", at positions 9 to 934 of the family's 1533-position model. The record is from RNAcentral.
GAGUUUGAUCCUGGCUCAGGAUGAACGCUGGCGGCGUGCCUAACACAUGCAAGUCGAGAGGGUUAGACCCUCGGCGAACGGGUGAGUAACACGUAGGAAUCUACCUUAGAGUCUCGGAUAACUCGCCGAAAGGCGAGAUAAUACGAGAUGGUCUCGCGAGAGUAAAGAUUUAUCGCUCUAAGAGGAGCCUGCGUCCUAUCAGCUUGUUGGUGAGGUAAUGGCUUACCAAGGCUUCGACGGGUAGCUGGUCUGAGAGGAUGAUCAGCCACAAUGGAACUGAGACACGGUCCAUACUCCUACGGGAGGCAGCAGUUGGGAAUAUUGCACAAUGGGCGAAAGCCUGAUGCAGCGACGCCGCGUGAUUGAAGAAGCCCUUCGGGGUGUAAAAAUCUUUUCUCUGGGAUAAUUAUGAUAGUACCAGAGGAAUAAGGACCGGCUAACUACGUGCCAGCAGCCGCGGUAAUACGUAGGGUCCAAGCGUUAUCCGGAAUUAUUGGGCGUAAAGGGUUCGUAGGUUGUUUUCUAAGUUGAAUCUAAAAGUCAGAAGCUUAACUUCUGGUUUGGAUCCAAAACUAGAAAACUAGAGAUUGGUAGGGGCAAGUGGAAUUCCCGGUGUAGCAGUGAAAUGCGUUGAUAUCGGGAGGAACACCAAUGGCGAAGGCAGCUUGCUAGACCAAUUCUGACACUGAGGAACGAAAGCGUGGGGAGCGAAAGGGAUUAGAUACCCCUGUAGUCCACGCCGUAAACAAUGGACACUGGGUAUUAGAAGCAUCGACCCUCCUUGUACCGAAGCUAACGCGUUAAGUGUCCCGCCUGGGGAGUACGGCCGCAAGGCUAAAACUCAAAGGAAUUGACGGGGGCUUGCACAAGCGGUG